RNAcentral lists this unclassified non-coding RNA (2090 nucleotides) under Hevea brasiliensis (rubber tree). The record is from RNAcentral. Lineage: Eukaryota; Viridiplantae; Streptophyta; Magnoliopsida; Malpighiales; Euphorbiaceae.
GAUUUUUGUAAUACACAUGGAAGUUAUUUUCUUUUUAAUGCUUACAUAGUUUCCUUCAAUCAAGAAAAUUUAGGUGAGGGAGAAUAUAUAAAGACUGAAUGUAAAUGGGUCAGCGUCGCAUACAAUGAAAAUAAUAAGCUUCUCUAAAAUCCUAUUUGACACAUCUGAAACUCGUUCUCUCCAUGGUUUUCUCAUCAAACGCAGCACAAGAAAUCAUCAAGCUAAUUGGAUUGUUUUAGUUUGUCACAGAAAUCAGCUUAACUUGCAUACAGAAAAUUGUCUUAUAUAGAGGUUAUUGUAACUUACUAAAGAAGUCAAUUAAAAUAGAGGAAUUUUUGGCUUUCAACAGCUCUUCAGCCUCUGCAAGUGAGUGAAUAGCUGAAAAAUAGCUUUCCAUGUUUGAAGUAUGCAGUCCCACUUUGCAAUAUCCAGAAAUUUUCCUAGGAAACUGGUAUUCGAAUUGUCGGAGGGCCAGACUUCAUGUCCUCCAAUAUAAGAUUCAAGAGAGCUAGAGUUAUGGGACCUUCUUUGCCGUUGCCAAUGAUCUGGUCAUCCCACUGCACCACAGGGCGAACAAGAAUUCCACUGCCAAUAAGCAUCAUUUCAUCUGCUUUCUUUCCUUUCUCUACAGUCACAUUACCCAUCUUCACUCCAUGAAGUUUACCCUCCCUGACCAGCACCUCAGCUAGAGUCAAAACUCUCUUAGCUGUGCACCCACUUAGAAUUUUGUCAAAGUGUGGCAUCAGAAGUUCUUUAUCUUUGGUAACAAAUGCCACAUUCAUAUUAGGUCCUUCAGCAAUGAACCCAUCAUAAUCCAGCCAAAUGGCUGCAAAUGCACCAUUCUCUUCAGCUUCCAUCUUUGAAAGCACAUUCGGAAGGUAAUUUACACUCUUCAUGGUGGCAAACUGUGGGUGUUUUAUAGGGACUGAUGAAGUUACCACCUUAAUGCCUUUUGAAUCAAAUGGUGACUGAUCUUGGAUAACAAUGGCAUAAAGGGCUGGCUGAUGACAGCCAGAUGGAGAUAGUUGGAAAUCACCAGGUCCUACUGAGAGCCAGUAUCUUAGUGAUCCUUUCUGACACUUGGAAGCACUCACUGUUUGCAUGAGUAUUCUUCUUAUACUUUCCCGAUCAAAAGGAAGAUUAAUUUUGGCCAUAGAUGCUGAUCUUAGAAUACGGUCAAGGUGUUGGUCCAAUUCAUAUAGAUGUCCAUCCAUUAUUGCAGCAGUAUCAAAGACACCAUGCCCCCUAUGCACCAUAUGAUCAUCCAUGGGUAUCACCAUAGCUGCUGGAUCUGUUGUUAUUCCACCAAAAAUGCUAGAGUACAUUGCCAGGAAUUGCUGCUUCCCUUUGUGCUUUUCUCUGUUAGUUCUUAGUCUUUCAAUAACCUUCAGAAAUAGAAAGAAACCAUGAAACUUGCUAAGAAAACAAUACAAAUGACCAAAUGAAAAAAACUGAACUUCCUGAAAUAAUCAUAAACUCUGACUUUACUAAGGGCAUCUUAGCCUUCAGCAAUGCGAAAAAGAAAAUCAAAGAAAACAAGCAGGAAAAGGGAAGACAAUAAACCUCUGAACAAGUCAGAAUUGGAACAUCAAAUGUUUGAGCAGUAGAAUCUGCCACCAUAAACUACCAUAUUAGUCUUAAAUUUCACAUAGUAUACAAGCAAUUGAUAGCAAAACUAAACUGAUUAAUUAAUUAAGCCAAAUGAUGAGAUCAAAGCAUCGACAUACCAACCAAAGCUUCAGCUUGAUGAGAACUUCUAACAAUCAUCUGUUCAGUAAUCGACCCACGUUGCAAACAUUGAAACCCAAGUCUCCAAAAUGAAAGAUUUCGCGAUAGUAGACACGAAUUAUGCAAAUGAUCAGGGAGGCUUGAGGGGAUACGCCAGUGUUGCCAAGUGGGUUUUGGUAGAAAAGCUGUGGAAGACGAAGCCAUGGAAGCGAAUACUGUGGAAUAGCAGACCCAGAGGAAUAGUACGAUCAAAAUAUACUGUACAUCAACGGGUUGAUCUUCAUGAUUUGAUAUUUGUAUUGAAAUGUUCAAGUGUCAACAUUCCGACGAAAAAGCCAACGUAAAUCCCCCUUGAGUGCAAA